Molecule: ribosomal RNA, 497 nt
Filed under: uncultured bacterium
Lineage: Bacteria
Description: partial 16S ribosomal RNA
Rfam family: Bacterial small subunit ribosomal RNA
Source: RNAcentral
UCUUCCCUCUUUCUUCGUGCCUAAUACAUGCAAGUCGAGCGAACGGACGAGAAGCUUGCUUCUCUGAUGUUAGCGGCGGACGGGUGAGUAACACGUGGAUAACCUACCUAUAAGACUGGGAUAACUUCGGGAAACCGGAGCUAAUACCGGAUAAUAUUUUGAACCGCAUGGUUCAAAAGUGAAAGACGGUCUUGCUGUCACUUAUAGAUGGAUCCGCGCUGCAUUAGCUAGUUGGUAAGGUAACAGCUUACCAAGGCAACGAUGCAUAGCCGACCUGAGAGGGUGAUCGGCCACACUGGAACUGAGACACGGUCCAGACUCCUACGGGAGGCAGCAGUAGGGAAUCUUCCGCAAUGGGCGAAAGCCUGACGGAGCAACGCCGCGUGAGUGAUGAAGGUCUUCGGAUCGUAAAACUCUGUUAUUAGGGAAGAACAUAUGUGUAAGUAACUGUGCACAUCUUGACGGUACCUAAUCAGAAAGCCACGGCUAACUACGUG